AGCAGCCGCGGUAAUUCCAGCUCCAAUAGCGUAUAUUAAAGUUGCUGCAGUUAAAAAGCUCGUAGUUGAAUUUCGGGACCAAUCUGUCGGUCGUGCCUCGGUACGCACUGGCUUAUUGGUUUCUCCCUUCUGAAGAACCAUGAUGUCAUUCAUUUGGUGUCGUGGGGAAUCAGGACUGUUACUUUGAAAAAAUUAGAGUGUUUAAAGCAGGCUCACGCUUGAAUACAUUAGCAUGGAAUAAUGAAAUAGGACGUUCGAUUCUAUUUUGUUGGUUUCUAGGUUCGACGUAAUGAUUAAUAGGGAUAGUUGGGGGCAUUAGUAUUCAAUUGUCAGAGGUGAAAUUCUUGGAUUUAUUGAAGACUAACUACUGCGAAAGCAUUUGCCAAGGAUGUUUUCAUUAAUCAAGAACGAAAGUUAGGGGAUCGAAGACGAUCAGAUACCGUCGUAGUCUUAACCAUAAACCAUGCCGACUAGGGAUCGGAUGAUGU
Molecule: ribosomal RNA, 488 nt
Filed under: uncultured Glomeromycotina
Lineage: Eukaryota; Fungi; Glomeromycota
Description: SSU rRNA
Rfam family: Eukaryotic small subunit ribosomal RNA
Source: RNAcentral